RNAcentral lists this ribosomal RNA (433 nucleotides) under uncultured bacterium. RNAcentral describes it as "partial 16S ribosomal RNA". It matches the Rfam family "Bacterial small subunit ribosomal RNA", at positions 29 to 507 of the family's 1533-position model. The record is from RNAcentral.
AACGAACGCUGGCGGCAGGCCUAACACAUGCAAGUCGAGCGGACCCUUCGGGGUUAGCGGCGGACGGGUGAGUAACGCGUGGGAAUAUGCCCUUCUCUACGGAAUAGUCCUGGGAAACUGGGGGUAAUACCGUAUACGCCCUUUGGGGGAAAGAUUUAUCGGGGAAGGAUUAGCCCGCGUUGGAUUAGGUAGUUGGUGGGGUAAUGGCCUACCAAGCCGACGAUCCAUAGCUGGUUUGAGAGGAUGAUCAGCCACACUGGGACUGAGACACGGCCCAGACUCCUACGGGAGGCAGCAGUGGGGAAUCUUAGACAAUGGGGGCAACCCUGAUCUAGCCAUGCCGCGUAAGUGAUGAAGGCCUUAGGGUUGUAAAGCUCUUUCAGCUGGGAAGAUAAUGACGGUACCAGCAGAAGAAGCCCCGGCUAACUCCGUG